RNAcentral lists this ribosomal RNA (460 nucleotides) under uncultured bacterium. RNAcentral's name for it is "partial 16S ribosomal RNA". It matches the Rfam family "Bacterial small subunit ribosomal RNA", at positions 338 to 795 of the family's 1533-position model. The record is from RNAcentral.
CCUACGGGAGGCAGCAGUGAGGAAUAUUGGUCAAUGGACGAGAGUCUGAACCAGCCAAGUAGCGUGAAGGAUGACUGCCCUAUGGGUUGUAAACUUCUUUUAUAUGGGAAUAAAAUGUUCCACGUGUGGGAUUUUGUAUGUACCCUAUGAAUAAGGAUCGGCUAACUCCGUGCCAGCAGCCGCGGUAAUACGGAGGAUCCGAGCGUUAUCCGGAUUUAUUGGGUUUAAAGGGAUCGUAGGUGGAUUGUUAAGUCAGUUGUGAAAGUUUGCGGCUCAACCGUAAAAUUGCAGUUGAAACUGGCAGGCUUGAGUACAGUAGAGGUGGGCGGAAUUCGUGGUGUAGCGGUGAAAUGCUUAGAUAUCACGAAGAACUCCGAUUGCGAAGGCAGCUCACUGGACUGCAACUGACACUGAGGCUCGAAAGUGUGGGUAUCAAACAGGAUUAGAUACCCUAGUAGUC